GACGAACGCUGGCGGCGUGCUUAACACAUGCAAGUCGAACGGAAAGGCCCUGCUUUUGUGGGGUGCUCGAGUGGCGAACGGGUGAGUAACACGUGAGUAACCUGCCCUUGACUUUGGGAUAACUUCAGGAAACUGGGGCUAAUACCGGAUAGGAGCUCCUGCUGCAUGGUGGGGGUUGGAAAGUUUCGGCGGUUGGGGAUGGACUCGCGGCUUAUCCGCUUGCUGGUGGGGUAGUGGCUUACCAAGGCUUUGACGGGUAGCCGGCCUGAGAGGGGGACCGGCGACAUUGGGACUGAGGGAGGGCCCAGACGCGUACGGGAGGCAGCGGGGGGGAAUAUUGCACAGUGGGCGGAAGCCUGAUGCAGCAACGCCGCGUGCGGGAUGACCGCCUUCGGGUUGUAAACCGCUUUCGCCGGUGACGAAGCGUGAGUGACGGUAAUGGGUAAAGAAGCACCGGCUAACUACGUG
Molecule: ribosomal RNA, 468 nt
Filed under: uncultured bacterium
Lineage: Bacteria
Description: partial 16S ribosomal RNA
Rfam family: Bacterial small subunit ribosomal RNA
Source: RNAcentral